Long non-coding RNA from Alligator mississippiensis (American alligator), 1447 nucleotides. RefSeq lists it as uncharacterized. NCBI's taxonomy places the organism in Eukaryota, Metazoa, Chordata, Crocodylia, Alligatoridae. The transcript has 5 exons. The record is from RefSeq and is a predicted model, not a curated record.
CCAGGGCUAGAGCUGGCACUUGCCAGAGGAAAUAACUCCUGCAUAUAAGAGCUACCUGGGGAUAUUUGAUUGCUGACCUGCUGCCUGCAAGAUUAAUAGGGCUUCAGGAGCACCUAAGACAGGGGAACAAUAAUCCAGGACGGGAGCGCUUGGUUUCUUUUUUUUUGACAGAGGCCACGGGAGAGAACCUGACAGCUGAACAUUGACGAAAGGACAAUUUGAUACCUGGUGGAACGAGCAAGGAUGUAGGGGAUGGUGGAGCCCUUAGGACUAUAGGACAGUGGACGACAACCAACUAGAACUUCACGCCCAGGGCAACACUGAGGCCUCUACCCAGAUGGAGCCCAUGGUGGUGCUGGUGGCCCCUUCCUCCCAACUGUGGGGGCUGCCUGACGGAGACCCAGAGGCCACAGGUAGGAGAGGGGUCUGGAGGUACCCUUGACUGUCCCUCUUGUGCUCAACUUCAGGCCCUGGAGGAGCAGGAUCAGUUUUCCAACAGACAGACCUCCCAGGAGAGAGAUACCGCCAAGGAAUGGAAGAAGGUGGCCACCAGAACCAGGGCUGCUCAGGCUAGCACGGAGCCGGCUCCCCAGCUACAACUGGGGAACAGAUUCAAGGCCUCGGCAGCCUUAGAGGAGAAGGUCGAAGGAGAUGCCCCUGUGGGGGACAGUGCCACUCUACACAUGGAACAUUCCGAGAAAGAACACCAUGAGAAAGAAAUGCUGCGUCCUUGUCAUCUGAGAUUCCAUCCUGAGGAGGGUCCCGUUUGCCAACUCAACCCCAUGAUGGCAAUACCUAUAGAGCAGCUGUGAAUAGAAGCAGCCACUUCUCUCGCAGGUGGACACCUCACAGAGAGUAUAUCAACAUGUUCCUCUUCCCACUAAACCAGAAACAUACUAGAAGGUUUCCCUGAGGAAGGGGUAAAGUGUUUAUUACUCCUGUUAUUCUGUUUGUUCAGAAAAAGCAAUUUGCCACCCCAAAAGAGCACUUUUACAGUUUAUCAACCUCCUUUCCUUCUCAGCAUGUACAGCCAAGCCAAGCCUAAAUCAUCUUAGGAACAGGAACUGUUUCUUCAGAUACCCCAACCAUCAUUGAUAAAGGACACCUGGUUAUUAUUAAAUGUUUUCACCUAUGAAGGGACUGAAUACAUCAGAUUAUUUCAUCACUGCCCCCAAGGAAUAAUGAAGAAAGAGUUUGUCACUGCAAUAGCUGGGAGAUUAAAUUUAGCUUUCUGUCACCAGCUACUAGGAAAACUCUCACCAAACUGAGAAGUACUAAUCAAUGCAGUUCUGUAAAACAUACAAGUUAGCAUUCAGCUGAGUCAAAGAGCAUGCAUUCUGUGAAUUAACCUUUUUAGCUAUGGAAUUAGACUGUACUGUACUAAUAACUUUAUCCUUCUUGGCAAUAAAGAUGAUUAUUUCUGACUAGUGCAAGGACCCAUUCUUCA